GACAGAGGUCCCGAGCGUUAGGCGGAAUCACUGGGCUUAAAGCGUGUGUAGGCGGAGUGCUAAGUACCUUGUGAAAUCCCACGGCUCAACCGUGGAACUGCUUGGUAUACUGGUUCUCUUGAGCCACCUAGGGGCAACCGGAACAAACGGUGGAGCGGUGAAAUGCGUAGAUAUCGCUUGGAACGCCGAAGGUGAAAACAGGUUGCUGGGGUUGUGCCGACGCUGAGACACGAAAGCCAGGGGAGCAAACGGG
RNAcentral lists this ribosomal RNA (253 nucleotides) under uncultured bacterium. RNAcentral's name for it is "partial 16S ribosomal RNA". It matches the Rfam family "Bacterial small subunit ribosomal RNA", at positions 524 to 776 of the family's 1533-position model. The record is from RNAcentral.